RNAcentral lists this long non-coding RNA (1372 nucleotides) under Homo sapiens (human). RNAcentral's name for it is "non-protein coding lnc-IER5-6:1". The record is from RNAcentral. Lineage: Eukaryota; Metazoa; Chordata; Mammalia; Primates; Hominidae.
CUCUCGGCGCUCUUCGGCUCGGAGCCUGGCGGCUCAGCGCGCUCCCGGCUGCACGUGCUGCCCCCGCCGCCGCCCACGCCAGACAAAGCGGGGCCCUCCCGGGCGUGUUUCCUAGGCGCCCCCUUCCCUCGAUGAACCCUUUGAUUUCUUCCUUCUUCUCUCUCACUUCGUUCCAGCCCCCUCAACUGCCUCCUGGAGCGCCUUUUUUGUGUGCUCGCCAUCUCACGUUUGGCCCUCUCUCCAAAGCUCUGCCUUCACGAACGCCUCCAUUUGACCUUCCCCCUCCGCCACUCUCUGGUCUCCUUUGGUAGCUUUAUCAUUACAUUUGAUGGAAGGGCGACUCUCCCCUCUCCUAUUUUCAGCUCCACAUUACCUUUUGUAUUGUCCUCUCCCCUUCCUAUUGGCAUCUUCUUUCUGUCCUUGCCCUUUUCAAGACUCUUCCAGAAACUCUCUUGAUGUCUCUGCCUCUUUUCACGGUUUCCUUUCCACUUUUUCUUUUCUCUCUGGGCUGUGGGACAGCAGAAGGGAGAUUGCAAAUGGCUACCUAGAUUGAGUGCCCCUUUUACCUCACUGACGCCAUCCUUUUUUCUGUCACCUUGAGGUCACAUUAUUUGGGCACCUUGAUGAGGCUUUGGGGAUUCUACUGCCGUUGCUGCCAUUAGCAGUCUCUUUGCUUGGAAGCUUAAAUGAAGGAAAUUUCUGGGAACUGGUCAAAGACUCCUGAAAUGCACCUUGAGGACUAAACAUCUCUCUCCCUCCAUCUCUGCUUGGUUACUCUGGUUUGUUUCGAACACCGGCUGCUUCUUCCCACUUCUUGACUCCCUGCACCCCUACCCGCCCCCCCAGCAAUCACAUUGUUCAUCCCUUUGGCACCAGCCCUAGAGAGGAAAGGGUAGGUCCUCCUCUCCAGGAAGGAAGGUGGGGCAGAGUAGCUCCCGCAGGAAGGGAAGGAAAAAGGAGGGAAGGAAGGAAGUGGCCAACAGAAGGUGGAAUCCGGUGGGAGGACUUUUCAUUGUUUGAACGUCUUUCCUUUUUAGCUCUGCAAAGUCAAGCCCAAGGCCAUCUCACCAAGGUUCUGCUGCCAUCUCCCAGAACCCCAGCUAGGACUCCCUUGCCAGAGGCUGGAGGGGGCUGAGGUUUUGGUGGACAUAUUUAAGUGAAGUGGGCAGAGUUUCAUGUAUGCUGCAAAUUGUAAGCACUUACAUUUUUAAUGUAUCCAUCUUCUGUUUCUUUUCUGUCCAACAAAGUCAGCUUUUAUCUUCCCUUUUCUCCAGGGGGAAAAAAAAAAAGAAAAACUCCAGGGUAGAAUUAUGCCUCAGGUAAGGAAAAUGUAUCUACCAUUUCCUGAGGACCUUCUACCUGUGAAUCUGCU